UCUGGAGACAGGUGCUGCAUGGCUGUCGUCAGCUCGUGUCGUGAGAUGUUGGGUUAAGUCCCGCAACGAGCGCAACCCUUGCCUUUAGUUGCCAGCAGUUCGGCUGGGCACUCUAAAGGGACUGCCGGUGUUAAACCGGAGGAAGGUGGGGAUGACGUCAAGUCCUCAUGGCCUUUAUGACCAGGGCUACACACGUACUACAAUGGCCGAUACAAAGGGCAGCGACACUGCGAAGUGAAGCCAAUCCCGUAAAAUCGGUCUCAGUCCGGAUUGGAGUCUGCAACUCGACUCCAUGAAGUUGGAAUCGCUAGUAAUCGUGGAUCAGCAUGCCACGGUGAAUACGUUCCCGGGCCUU
Molecule: ribosomal RNA, 355 nt
Filed under: uncultured Desulfobulbus sp.
Lineage: Bacteria; Pseudomonadati; Thermodesulfobacteriota; Desulfobulbia; Desulfobulbales; Desulfobulbaceae
Description: bacterial SSU rRNA
Rfam family: Bacterial small subunit ribosomal RNA
Source: RNAcentral